GACGAACGCUGGCGGCGUGCCUAAUACAUGCAAGUUGAGCGAUGAAGCUUGGUGCUUGCACCAAUUUGAAGAGCAGCGAACGGGUGAGUAACGCGUGGGGAAUCUGCCUUUGAGCGGGGGACAACAUUUGGAAACGAAUGCUAAUACCGCAUAACAACUUUAAACAUAAGUUUUAAGUUUGAAAGAUGCAAUUGCAUCACUCAAAGAUGAUCCCGCGUUGUAUUAGCUAGUUGGUGAGGUAAAGGCUCACCAAGGCGAUGAUACAUAGCCGACCUGAGAGGGUGAUCGGCCACAUUGGGACUCAGACACGGCCCAAACUCCUACGGGAGGCAGCAGUAGGGAAUCUUCGGCAAUGGACGAAAGUCUGACCGAGCAACGCCGCGUGAGUGAAGAAGGUUUUCGGAUCGUAAAACUCUGUUGGUAGAGAAGAACGUUGGUGAGAGUGGAAAGCUCAUCAAGUGACGGUAACUACCCAGAAAGGGACGGCUAACUACGUG
RNAcentral lists this ribosomal RNA (497 nucleotides) under uncultured bacterium. RNAcentral's name for it is "partial 16S ribosomal RNA". It matches the Rfam family "Bacterial small subunit ribosomal RNA", at positions 28 to 507 of the family's 1533-position model. The record is from RNAcentral.